UGGGGAAUAUUGGACAAUGGGCGCAAGCCUGAUCCAACAAUGCCGCGUGUGUGAAGAAGGCCUGCGGGUUGUAAAGCACUUUAAGCAGGAAAGAAGGGGUGGGAGUUAAUACCUUUCAUCAUUGACGUUACCUGCAGAAUAAGCACCGGCUAACUCCGUG
RNAcentral lists this ribosomal RNA (160 nucleotides) under uncultured bacterium. Its description in RNAcentral is "partial 16S ribosomal RNA". It matches the Rfam family "Bacterial small subunit ribosomal RNA", at positions 355 to 507 of the family's 1533-position model. The record is from RNAcentral.